AAUAAGCGGAGGAAAAGAAACUAACAAGGAUUCCCCUAGUAACUGCGAGUGAAGCGGGAAAAGCUCAAAUUUAAAAUCUGGUGGCCUUUGGCCAUCCGAGUUGUAAUUUAGAGAAGCGUAUUCCGCGCCGGACCGUGCACAAGUCUCCUGGAAUGGAGCGUCGUAGAGGGUGAGAAUCCCGUCUUUGGCACGGACGACCGGGGCUUUUGUGAUGCGCUCUCGAAGAGUCGAGUUGUUUGGGAAUGCAGCUCAAAAUGGGUGGUGAACUCCAUCUAAAGCUAAAUAUUGGCGAGAGACCGAUAGCGAACAAGUACCGUGAGGGAAAGAUGAAAAGCACUUUGGAAAGAGAGUGAAACAGUACGUGAAAUUGUUGAAAGGGAAACGCUUGAAGUCAGUCGCGUCGUCCGAGACUCAGCCUCGCCUCGGCUUGGUGUACUUCUCGGCCGACGGGUCAGCAUCAAUUUUGCCCCUUGGAUAAUGGCGAGGGAAAUGUGACACCCUUAUGGGGGUGUGUUAUAGUCUCUCGUCGCAUGCAAGGGUCGGGAUUGAGGAACUCAGCACGCGCCUUUGGGUGUCGGGGUUUUCGCCCACGAUACGUGCUUAGGAUGUUGGCGUAAUGGCUUUAAACGACCCGUCUUGAAACACGGACC
Molecule: ribosomal RNA, 650 nt
Filed under: Russula atropurpurea
Lineage: Eukaryota; Fungi; Basidiomycota; Agaricomycetes; Russulales; Russulaceae
Description: LSU rRNA
Rfam family: Eukaryotic large subunit ribosomal RNA
Source: RNAcentral